GAUGAACGCUGGCGGCGUGCCUAAUACAUGCAAGUCGAGCGAACGGACGAGAAGCUUGCUUCUCUGAUGUUAGCGGCGGACGGGUGAGUAACACGUGGAUAACCUACCUAUAAGACUGGGAUAACUUCGGGAAACCGGAGCUAAUACCGGAUGAUAUUUUGAACCGCAUGGUUCAAAAGUGAAAGACGGUCUUGCUGUCACUUAUAGAUGGAUCCGCGCUGCAUUAGCUAGUUGGUAAGGUAACGGCUUACCAAGGCAACGAUGCAUAGCCGACCUGAGAGGGUGAGCGGCCACACUGGAACUGAGACACGGUCCAGACUCCUACGGGAGGCAGCAGUAGGGAAUCUUCCGCAAUGGGCGAAAGCCUGACGGGGCAACGCCGCGUGAGUGAUGAAGGUCUUCGGAUCGUAAAACUCUGUUAUUAGGGAAGAACAUAUGUGUAAGUAACUGUGCACAUCUUGACGGUACCUAAUCAGAAAGCCACGGCUAACUACGUG
This 497-nucleotide ribosomal RNA is filed under the name uncultured bacterium. RNAcentral describes it as "partial 16S ribosomal RNA". It matches the Rfam family "Bacterial small subunit ribosomal RNA", at positions 28 to 507 of the family's 1533-position model. The record is from RNAcentral.